This 26-nucleotide non-coding RNA is filed under the name Cricetulus griseus (Chinese hamster). The record is from RNAcentral. Lineage: Eukaryota; Metazoa; Chordata; Mammalia; Rodentia; Cricetidae.
AAAACACAAAAAAGGACAGUCGGAAG